This is a long non-coding RNA of Pieris napi, 1196 nucleotides long. RefSeq lists it as uncharacterized. NCBI's taxonomy places the organism in Eukaryota, Metazoa, Arthropoda, Insecta, Lepidoptera, Pieridae. The record is from RefSeq and is a predicted model, not a curated record. The transcript has 3 exons.
CAUAAAGUGUAACUAAAUUUAAAUUAACAGUCAACACGCUAGGCAAGUAAUAAAACGUCAUCUGCCUAGCUAUUUGAUCAACUGGCUGAAUAUCUUUAAGACAGCUAGUUAAACGGCGCUGUUUAGUUAAGAGGCUAGGCUGUUGAUUGAACGACUAAUUCAGCUGGUUGGCUGCGACAUAAACAUCAUAUCAAAACAAAGUUUUUAAGGAAAGUUGUUUACACUUGAGUCAUUUCCUGAUAUACUAGCAGUACUUAUAGAAUCAACUUUUUAUGUUAGACAAAAGGAAUAUUUCAAGUGCAGCAGAAAAAUAAGCGUUGUUUUUAUAGGCUCGGUUUUAUUAGAUUCUUUAAGUCGCUGUUGCUAUUCUUUCCCGACUCGAAUUCUUCACGAAUUCCAUAGAAUGAAUGGUUCUCAUCCAGAACUUGAUAUUGUCGCGACAUCUACAGUCUGCGCUUACAAAUCACUGUGAUGACGUCAUACCCUGAUACGCGUGAACGAAGUUCCAGCUGCUAAGGAUAUAUCGGGCCGGCCAGUCAGGUUAGACUGGUCGCGGAUCACUCACACUGUACACCAUCUUUCCACAAUAUAUUCGGUAGUAUAUCAAGCUCUGGCUCUGGAAGCUAUAGUCGGCUGAUCAAAUUAAAAGAAACCGUAGUGAAUCACCUGGAUACCUAAUCUGUGGAAGUAUCUUUAAAUAUGUAAGUUGAUGGUUCCCGUUGCAGUAAUUACCGUCACGAAGAUGUGCAGAGUUUUUGUCGAAGAAAAGGGAGACAGCGAUUGAGACCGAUUGAGAGAGAGUGAGAAAGGGCGACCGUAGCAUGAAGCUAAUAGCCGUGAAGCGAGAGUAGGGAGCAAGCAAGUGAGAAAGAUCGAGAGAGAGAGUGAGUUCAAGCGAACGUCGCAUCACGCACAGUGCCAUGGAGCGAGGUGGGAGAGAGCUAUAGUGAGAAAGAUUGAGAGAGAGUUUAAAACUUUUAACUUUAACUUAGUUUUAGAUUGUAUAAAUUAGAUUAGAUUUGUAUAAACAUGAACAAGACUUAAAAAUUUGUUUGCCAAAAAUGUUUCACUUCUGAUAUAAUGUGUACUUUGUACGCACGCAUUUUUUGUUUUUGUAAUAUUUUGGCUAGGUAUUUAUUAUAUAUGAAUUGUGAAUAAGUAGGUACGUAUAGAAAUAUAUGCUUGAGCAAAACGAA